UGCCCGCCCGAAAAAAAAACGGCGGGUAUAAAUUCCUCGACAUCGCGUUCGUCCGGGGAGCAUUUUAGCCGGUGGCUCUCUCGCUCUCUACGUGGAGCUCUAGAAGGCCCUAGAUCCUUGUCGAUCUUCGGUGGAAGUAUUGCAGGACUUAAGAGGAAAAAUGAGCAGGCGAUCAAGCUGCACGAUUUAUGUUGGUAAUCUACCUGGACAUAUACGCGAAAGGGAGGUUGAGGACCUUUUUUAUAAGUACGGGCCCACUGUUGAUAUUGAUCUAAAAAUACCGCCUAGGCCUCCAGGAUACUGUUUCAUCGAGGUAAUGUGGCACUCAUGGCUAGCUUAUUUGGGACCUCAAACACAGCUUCCGUUACAGCAUAUGGUUUCUUAUUUAGUUGGUAUUGCUCUGUUGCAGUUUGAAAAUGCUCGUGAUGCUGAAGAUGCUAUUCGAGGGCGUGAUGGGUACAAUUUUGAUGGGCAUAGGCUGAGAGUGGAACUUGCUCAUGGUGGUCGACGCCGUUCUUCACCAACUGAUCGCUACAGCAGCUAUAGCAGUAGCAUAGGUGGACGUGGGGGAGUCUCAAGGCGCUCUGAUUACCGGGUCUUGGUUACGGGGUUACCUUCAUCUGCUUCUUGGCAAGAUCUUAAGGAUCAUAUGCGCUGUGCUGGAGAUGUUUGCUUCUCUCAAGUUUUUCGUGAGGGUCGAGGUACAACGGGCAUUGUUGAUUACACAAACUAUGAUGACAUGAAAUAUGCUAUAAGGAAGCUUGAUGAUUCAGAGUUCAGGAAUGCAUUUUCACGUGCUUAUAUAAGGGUACGGGAAUAUGAUUCUCCAAGCCGUAGCCAUAGCGGAUCCUAUUCUAGAAGCAGAAGCAGGAGUCCUGCAAGACGUAGCCUCAGUUACAGCCGGAGCAGGAGCCGGAGUGAGAGCAUGUCUCCAAGAAGAAAAUCUCCAGUGCGAUCUCCAUCUCGUUCGCGAUCAAGGUCUGUCUCAUCACGUUCUCUUUCUGGCUCAAGGCAUCGUUCUGUGUCAAGAUGAGGGCUUGAGCGGGAGGUUGGGGUUGGUGGAAAUGCAUGCUACUCUUUUGGUUGUGGAGGGGUUAAAUGACACGAGGAAUGGAUGGAUGGCAAUACGGAAGUGGAGUUGGGACUUUGCCAAUUUAGGUGUCUUCACGAGGGAUGGAUGGAUAGCAAUACGGAAGUGGACUUGGGACUUGCCAAUUUAGGUGUCUUUCAUCUUCGUGCUAGGAAGGAGUCAAGCUCAGGACUGCCGUCAUACUGGGAGAUGUUCCUGUCUUUUCCUUCUCUUCACUAACUCUGUUGUUUCUCAAAAAAAUGAGUGCGGAUAUUCGUAUGCAGCUGAUUUAUUUACUAACUAGAUCUGUGACUAAGUCUGUUAUUUUGUUUGGUGAAUGCUAACAUAUAUGUUCUGUGACUUCUGUCCUUGUUCAAAUUGUUGAUGAGGCAUCAAGGCUUUUGGAUGAAGGUGCUAAAGCUUCUCUAUUGAUGUUUUAUUUGGUUAUUUUAUGGAACUUUUGCAGAUCAAGAUCCAGGUCACGAUCUCCAUUCACCUCUGCAAGAUCUUACAGGAAGCGAUCUGUUGGUUCAAGAGAUGAUUAAUGUUCUUGAUGGGUAAGAUUUAUUGAACCAGGCUUCAAGUUUGACUUUUGAGUUGAAGGUUGGAGUUUUGAGCAGCAGUUCUUGCAAAUACAUACAGUGGGAAGAUGAUGCAGUUGAAUCUCUCAACUAGGAAAGUUUUUGGAUCCAUGUAUCUCAUACAGUAUUUCAUGGACAGUUGUGUAGGGCUGUUAAAUCAACUAAAUACUGUUUGUUGUUCGUGUAGGUUUGUUUUAUCAACUAAUUACUGUUUGUUCCUAUUCCAUACUUUCAGUGUUGAAUGCUAGAGCAGUUCAUUAUGGUUAUUAUCC
This is an RNA transcript of Nymphaea colorata (pocket water lily), 1922 nucleotides long. It is a transcript of the gene named serine/arginine-rich-splicing factor SR34-like, with no coding region annotated. The transcript has 13 exons. The record is from RefSeq and is a predicted model, not a curated record. Lineage: Eukaryota; Viridiplantae; Streptophyta; Magnoliopsida; Nymphaeales; Nymphaeaceae.